GGUGGAAUUAUCUGGCCAGGCCAGGAGGAUAUUGAGGAGGAGAGGGCGAAGGAAAGCAAAGGUUCAGAAGUGCCAUCAAAACUGAAUUGCGUCUUCCUGUACAGGUGCAUGGAACUUUCUGUGCAGCAGAGGCCCACAUCACAACCAAAGCAUGUGAGGAUAACUGCCUCUACAAGAAGAACAUGAGCUCUUUUCCCUCCUCACUGAUCAUCCUGUGUGCUCCCCUCAGGACUCAUGACAGUUCAGUGGAGAAGAGCUCGUGAGUAUGGCCAGCAAAGCAAAGGAGAUUUACUUGAGAAAGAGCUAGUGCUUCCCAGCUAUGUUAAAACUAAUGCUUGGUUCUCUUGGGUGCCGUUGACUUUGAUCGGUGUUAUAAGCCACCUGGUGAUGGGCUGCAGUAGAAAAAGCAGUUGCCACUGGAGGUGAACACAAGGUGAGCUAAAAACUGAA
Long non-coding RNA from Myiozetetes cayanensis, 450 nucleotides. RefSeq lists it as uncharacterized. Lineage: Eukaryota; Metazoa; Chordata; Aves; Passeriformes; Tyrannidae. The record is from RefSeq and is a predicted model, not a curated record. The transcript is spliced from 3 exons.